CAUCGGCUUCCCUGCGUAGAGUGUGUGUGAGAUGGUGCCGACUGCUGAAAUAAACUACUCAAGAGCUGUCAGAGGAUGCGAAUGUACGGCUAAAACAUAAUAAAAAUUCAACUCAAUUUCCAUAUGCAGGAGACUUACGGUGUUAAAACAAUACCGAUCUUGUGAAUUUUUCUCAAGUCUCCGCAAACUCGACUCAAAGUAAUCUAUAGCCUAAAACUUUCAA
RNAcentral lists this long non-coding RNA (223 nucleotides) under Lathyrus oleraceus (garden pea). RNAcentral describes it as "Pisum sativum (pea) long non-coding RNA (PSAT_LNC025213)". Lineage: Eukaryota; Viridiplantae; Streptophyta; Magnoliopsida; Fabales; Fabaceae. The record is from RNAcentral.